AUACGUAGGUGGCAAGCGUUAUCCGGAAUUAUUGGGCGUAAAGAGUGAGCAGGCGGUUAAUUAAGUCUGAGGUUAAAGCGUGGGGCUCAACCCCAUAAAGCCUUGGAAACUGAUUGACUAGAGUACGGGAGAAGUGAAGGGAACUCCAUGUGUAGCGGUGAAAUGCGUAGAUAUAUGGAAGAACACCAGUGGCGAAGGCGCUUCACUAGCCCGAAACUGACGCUCAGUCACGAAAGCGUGGGUAGCAAAUAGGAUUAGAUACCCUAGUAGUCCACGCCGUAAACGAUGAGUACUAAGUGUUGGAUGUCAAAGUUUAGUGCUGCAGUUAACGCAAUAAGUACUCCGCCUGAGUAGUACGUUCGCAAGAAUGAAACUCAAAGGAAUUGACGGGG
Molecule: ribosomal RNA, 392 nt
Filed under: uncultured bacterium
Lineage: Bacteria
Description: partial 16S ribosomal RNA
Rfam family: Bacterial small subunit ribosomal RNA
Source: RNAcentral